AUUGAACGCUGGCGGCAGGCUUAACACAUGCAAGUCGAGCGGGGUGAUGGUGCUUGCACUAUCACUUAGCGGCGGACGGGUGAGUAAUGCUUAGGAAUCUGCCUAUUAGUGGGGGACAACAUCUCGAAAGGGAUGCUAAUACCGCAUACGUCCUACGGGAGAAAGCAGGGGAUCGCUUGUGACCUUGCGCUAAUAGAUGAGCCUAAGUCGGAUUAGCUAGUUGGUGGGGUAAAGGCCUACCAAGGCGACGAUCUGUAGCGGGUCUGAGAGGAUGAUCCGCCACACUGGGACUGAGACACGGCCCAGACUCCUACGGGAGGCAGCAGUGGGGAAUAUUGGACAAUGGGGGGAACCCUGAUCCAGCCAUGCCGCGUGUGUGAAGAAGGCCUUAUGGUUGUAAAGCACUUUAAGCGAGGAGGAGGCUCUUUUGGUUAAUACCCAAGAUGAGUGGACAUUACUCGCAGAAUAAGCACCGGCUAACUCUGUGCCAGCCGCCGCUGUAA
RNAcentral lists this ribosomal RNA (503 nucleotides) under uncultured bacterium. RNAcentral describes it as "partial 16S ribosomal RNA". It matches the Rfam family "Bacterial small subunit ribosomal RNA", at positions 30 to 523 of the family's 1533-position model. The record is from RNAcentral.